Molecule: transfer RNA, 72 nt
Filed under: Dipodomys ordii (Ord's kangaroo rat)
Lineage: Eukaryota; Metazoa; Chordata; Mammalia; Rodentia; Heteromyidae
Rfam family: tRNA
About the family: Transfer RNA (tRNA) molecules are approximately 80 nucleotides in length. Their secondary structure includes four short double-helical elements and three loops (D, anti-codon, and T loops).
Source: Rfam by way of RNAcentral
GUAAGUGUGGCUCAGUGUUAGAGUGCUUGCCUUGCAUGCAUGAGGCCCUGGGUUCAAUUCCUCAGCACCACA